UACGUAGGGUGCAAGCGUUGUCCGGAAUUAUUGGGCGUAAAGAGCUCGUAGGCGGUCUGUCGCGUCUGCUGUGGAAACCUGGGGCUUAACCCCGGGCCUGCAGUGGGUACGGGCAGACUAGAGUGUGGUAGGGGAGACUGGAAUACUUGGUGUAGCAGUGAAAUGCGUAGAUAUCAAGUGGAACACCAGUGGCGAAGGCGAGUCUCUGGACAUUUCCUGACGCUGAGGCACGAAAGCCAGGGGAGCAAACGGG
Molecule: ribosomal RNA, 253 nt
Filed under: uncultured bacterium
Lineage: Bacteria
Description: partial 16S ribosomal RNA
Rfam family: Bacterial small subunit ribosomal RNA
Source: RNAcentral